Molecule: ribosomal RNA, 1210 nt
Filed under: Vibrio cholerae HE48
Lineage: Bacteria; Pseudomonadati; Pseudomonadota; Gammaproteobacteria; Vibrionales; Vibrionaceae
Description: bacterial LSU rRNA
Rfam family: Bacterial large subunit ribosomal RNA
Source: RNAcentral
UCGGGAGAAGGUACGCUCUUGAUGGUGAAGUCCCUCGCGGAUGGAGCUGACGAGAGUCGCAGAUACCAGGUGGCUGCAACUGUUUAUUAAAAACACAGCACUGUGCAAAAUCGCAAGAUGACGUAUACGGUGUGACGCCUGCCCGGUGCCGGAAGGUUAAUUGAUGGGGUUAGCGCAAGCGAAGCUCUUGAUCGAAGCCCCGGUAAACGGCGGCCGUAACUAUAACGGUCCUAAGGUAGCGAAAUUCCUUGUCGGGUAAGUUCCGACCUGCACGAAUGGCGUAAUGAUGGCCACGCUGUCUCCACCCGAGACUCAGUGAAAUUGAAAUCGCUGUGAAGAUGCAGUGUACCCGCGGCUAGACGGAAAGACCCCGUGAACCUUUACUACAGCUUGGCACUGAACAUUGAACCUACAUGUGUAGGAUAGGUGGGAGGCUUUGAAGACGUGACGCCAGUUGCGUUGGAGCCGUCCUUGAAAUACCACCCUUGUAUGUUUGAUGUUCUAACUUAGACCCAUUAUCUGGGUUGAGGACAGUGCCUGGUGGGUAGUUUGACUGGGGCGGUCUCCUCCCAAAGAGUAACGGAGGAGCACGAAGGUGGGCUAAUCACGGUUGGACAUCGUGAGGUUAGUGCAAUGGCAUAAGCCCGCUUAACUGCGAGAAUGACGGUUCGAGCAGGUGCGAAAGCAGGUCAUAGUGAUCCGGUGGUUCUGUAUGGAAGGGCCAUCGCUCAACGGAUAAAAGGUACUCCGGGGAUAACAGGCUGAUACCGCCCAAGAGUUCAUAUCGACGGCGGUGUUUGGCACCUCGAUGUCGGCUCAUCACAUCCUGGGGCUGAAGUCGGUCCCAAGGGUAUGGCUGUUCGCCAUUUAAAGUGGUACGCGAGCUGGGUUUAGAACGUCGUGAGACAGUUCGGUCCCUAUCUGCCGUGGGCGUUGGAAGAUUGAAGGGGGCUGCUCCUAGUACGAGAGGACCGGAGUGGACGAACCUCUGGUGUUCGGGUUGUGUCGCCAGACGCAUUGCCCGGUAGCUAAGUUCGGAAUUGAUAAGCGCUGAAAGCAUCUAAGCGCGAAGCGAGCCCUGAGAUGAGUCUUCCCUGAUACUUUAAGUAUCCUAAAGGGUUGUUCGAGACUAGAACGUUGAUAGGCAGGGUGUGUAAGCGUUGUGAGGCGUUGAGCUAACCUGUACUAAUUGCCCGUGAGGCUUAACCAU